CUCAUAGGCGGUUUGUCGCGUCUGCUGUGAAAUCCGGAGGCUCAACCUCCGGCCUGCAGUGGGUACGGGCAGACUAGAGUGCGGUAGGGGAGAUUGGAAUUCCUGGUGUAGCGGUGGAAUGCGCAGAUAUCAGGAGGAACACCAAUGGCGAAGGCAGAUCUCUGGGCCGUAACUGACGCUGAGGAGCGAAAGCAGUGGGGAGCGAACA
Molecule: ribosomal RNA, 208 nt
Filed under: uncultured bacterium
Lineage: Bacteria
Description: partial 16S ribosomal RNA
Rfam family: Bacterial small subunit ribosomal RNA
Source: RNAcentral